GCCUACGAGUUCAUUUGUAACAAUAUGAAAGAAGAACCUUGCGUGCCCGAUCAUGAUAU
This 59-nucleotide small RNA is filed under the name Arabidopsis thaliana (thale cress). RNAcentral's name for it is "ATSL088160". The record is from RNAcentral. Lineage: Eukaryota; Viridiplantae; Streptophyta; Magnoliopsida; Brassicales; Brassicaceae.